Molecule: long non-coding RNA, 841 nt
Filed under: Malus domestica (apple)
Lineage: Eukaryota; Viridiplantae; Streptophyta; Magnoliopsida; Rosales; Rosaceae
Description: long non-coding RNA (MDOM_LNC015147)
Source: RNAcentral
CACUUUGUUUUGAGUUGAGUUUUGGUUCACCAAUCUACUAGGCUUUGAAUUUCAUGGGUAAUGUUUUGUUUUUUAGUGCAUGCAAGCAUGAUUCCGCCUUUAAUUGUUAAUUGCAUGCUAUAUGAUGUUGCUCAAAUGAACAUGUUUUCACAAAAUCUUCCUUCAAGUGGUAUCAGAGCCUAGGUCUUGUAGUUGGUGAAUCCUUUUGGGUUUUGUAGUUCAUAGUUUGUGAUUUAAAAGUUGUAAUAUGUUACAAGCUAUAUUCUUGUUUCUUUGAAUGUAAAUUUUGUUAGAAAAUUUGCCAUCUCAAAUGUUGUAGAUGUAGUUCUUAUGAGCAUGAAUAUUGGAGCUAAAAUUUGGUGCCAUGAUUUUGGGGAUUUUCGGCCAAAUACAUAGGGUGAAAUUUUGGGUUCUUGUUUGACUUGUUAAAAGUGUUUUCAAGUGACUUUUGGAACUCCUAUGUACCCUAGUUUGGUUAUAUGUUAUUUCCCUAAAGUUUGAAUGGUUUUGGGAUGUUUUUGGAUGAAAAAUGUUCAUGGAAAUUUUUUGGGUUUUUCAUGAAUGUUCUUCAUUGUUCUUGACAUUUUUGCCAAGAACAAAAAGUAUUGUGUUUUGAUUCAAAGUUUUGAUUUAUUUCAUAAAGUUUAUUUUUUAUGUAUUUUCAAAUGUUUAAAUGUUUUAGAUAUUUGUUUAAAUGGUGUAAGAAAUAUUGGUGGGUGUGUAAGGAUUAAUUUCCUUUCACACACACCACUUGCACCACUUGCAUGCUUUAUGUCAAAACUCACAAAUCAACACACACAUCACUCCUUUCCUCUCCCAAAACCGGCCACCCUACAUUAUA